This is a non-coding RNA of Cercocebus atys (sooty mangabey), 536 nucleotides long. The record is from the annotation of a RefSeq genome assembly. Lineage: Eukaryota; Metazoa; Chordata; Mammalia; Primates; Cercopithecidae.
UUCACCUUCUCACAAUGAGGUUCCCUGCUGAGCUCCUGGGGCUGCUAAUGCUCUGGGUCCCUGCCUCCAGUGGAGAUAUAGUGAUGACCCAGACUCCACUCUCCCUGCCUGUCACCCCUGGAGAGCCGGCGUCCAUCUCCUGCAGGUCUAGUCAGAGCCUCUUGGAUAGUUAUGGAUACACUAAUUUGAAUUGGUACCUGCAGAAGCCAGGCCAGUCUCCACAGCUCUUGAUCUAUGAGGUUUCCAACCGGGCCUCUGGAGUCCCAGACAGGUUCAGUGGCAGUGGGUCAGGCACUGAUUUCACCCUGAAAAUCAGCCGGGUGGAGGCUGAGGAUGUUGGGGUUUAUUACUGCAUGCAAACUCUACAAACUCCUCCCACAGUGAUGGCAAGCAAACCCCACAAUACACAAAAGGAAGAGGGCUACAGUCCCAUUAACAAGUUGGAGCCCUUAAGGCGAGAAUUAGGUGGAACAUCUGGAACAUCUGAGAGGAGACACCAGGCUGCGGAGGAGUGGGGAACCUGCUUUGUGCUCUGA